This 412-nucleotide ribosomal RNA is filed under the name uncultured microorganism. Its description in RNAcentral is "bacterial SSU rRNA". It matches the Rfam family "Archaeal small subunit ribosomal RNA", at positions 330 to 745 of the family's 1478-position model. The record is from RNAcentral.
GCGCACCAGGCGAGAAUACUUUACAAUGUGCGAAAGCACGAUAAGGGAACUCUGAGUGCCUCCUAAGGAGGCUGUUCAGGUGUCUAAAAAGCACCUGGAGUAAGGGCUGGGUAAGACCGGUGCCAGCCGCCGCGGUAACACCGGCAGCCCAGGUGGUAGCCACUUUUAUUGGGUCUAAAGCGUCCGUAGCCGGUUGAGUAAGUUCCUUGGGAAAUUUGGCUGCUCAACAGUCAAGCUUCCAGGGAAUACUGCUCGACUUGGGGACUGGGAGAGGUCAGAGGUACUCCGAGGGGUAGGGGUGAAAUCCAUUAAUCCCUGGGGGACCACCGGUAGCGAAGGCGUCUGACCAGACCAGGUCCGACGGUGAGGGACGAAGGCUAGGGUCGCGAACCGGAUUAGAUACCCCCGUAGU